This 91-nucleotide non-coding RNA is filed under the name Paracoccus contaminans. RNAcentral's name for it is "Glycine sequence". It matches the Rfam family "Glycine riboswitch aptamer". Rfam says of the family: This family represents the bacterial glycine riboswitch. Glycine riboswitches usually consist of two metabolite-binding aptamers domains with similar structures in tandem. Lineage: Bacteria; Pseudomonadati; Pseudomonadota; Alphaproteobacteria; Rhodobacterales; Paracoccaceae. The record is from Rfam by way of RNAcentral.
GCUUGCGUAUCGGGAGACGCCGGCGGCAACGCCGGGGCCGAAGGAGCAGCCGCCCCGGCGAACUCUCAGGCAAAAGGACCGUUUCGCGCGU